Long non-coding RNA from Octopus bimaculoides (California two-spot octopus), 2054 nucleotides. RefSeq lists it as uncharacterized. The record is from RefSeq and is a predicted model, not a curated record. Lineage: Eukaryota; Metazoa; Mollusca; Cephalopoda; Octopoda; Octopodidae.
UUUCAGUUUCCAUCUACCAAAUCCACUCACAAGGCGUUGGUCAACCCGAGGGUAUAGUAGAAGACACUUGUCCAAGUGGAACUGAACUCGGAACCAUGUAGUUGGGAAGCAAGCUUCUUACCACACAAACAUAUCUGCACCUCGACACAACCACACCUGCGCCUCGACACAGCCAGGCCUGCGCCUCGACACAGCCAUACUCCUUCUAAGGCCUCCAAUGCUGGAAUGGUCAAAGGAUAGAGGCCAUAUUAAUAUGGUUCAUCUCUUCUUGGUCGUAAAAAUUUGUUUGCAUAGAGCCAACAUCCCUACCUAGAAAAAGGCAAAGUUACAGAAACAUCAAUGACAAUUCAAACCAACAAGACCUGCGAACGGAAGGGCUUCCCUCAAGGAUCUUGAACUCAAAGGGAGGUGGAAGAAAGUACGCUUUAAAAGUAGCUGGAGGCAGUAUACUGAGAUAGAGCUGAAAAAACAGAGAACAAAUGAAGAGAAGCAGGAAAGACGACUUAGAGCCGAAAACAAUGGAGAAAAGUUGUUGGUGGCCUAAGCUCCAUACGGAGCGAAGAACUUGAUUAAUGAAGUAAAUGCUACCUCUUCACCGAUGGAAUCAUAAGAGCAUUGCCAAUGAUUGAUAUGUAAAAUUCAAGUUGUUUAAAACAUAAGAGGGUACAAAGCCCGAAAUUUGGGGGAUGGAGAUAGUCGAUUACAUCGACUCCAGUACUCGACUGGUACUUAAUUUGUCGACCCCGAAAGGAUAAAAGGGACAGCGUGAUGCAUUGGUGAACAGUCAACAGCGUUGGAGAGCAUAAAGAUUAAAGAUGUAUUUGAGAAAAUUUGUAUGACAUGGAGGACUGGAAGCUAUCUGAAUAUACGAAAAGUGUUAACAGUAUCAUGAUGAUUCGUGCCGAGUAUCAAAAUGCUGACAUCAUGACUGCUGCUCAAUGCUCUGUCAACAUUGCAAAGGCUGUAAGACGUAACGUGGACAUCAUGAACACCAAGAUUCCUCCAAACUCUGAUGGCCUUUCGGUGUGUCUUCAGUGAUGGUGAUAUCAUGCAGCCCUACAUCCUCGAACAGAGCCUUAGGUUCAAUUCAGAUGGCUAUGUGAAGUUGGUGGAGGCUGUGAUCAAACCCUGGCUGGAGAGCGUUGCUGCUGGAAGACCAUGUGUGAAAUGGUUGUCGGAGAAUUUCUACGACGUAACCAGCCCCAAUCUCUGACUUCCUAAUUCCCUUGAUUGUAAUCCCACGGAUUAAUGUGUGGGGCGCAGUUGAAAAAGAAAGACACCAACCGUCCUCUCUCCAGCAUCUAGGACGGGUUGGUAUAUGUCCUUUUAUCGUUUAUCGUAUAGAGUGGACGCUCAAUACGAAGUUUUGAACUCAUUAUCUUGUGGUCAGUAAUCCAUUACCUUAAAUUUGAAACCAUUAAAUCUGUAAACAUUAUUUUACAGGGUUUAGUCAUUCGACUGUCGCCAUGGCAGUGUAUCACCUUCAAAAAUUUAAAUGAUCAUACUGACCUCAGUACGUAUUUCAAUCUGGCAUUUAUUUUCAUCUCUGCUUGAUGAACUGCUAACUUUGAGACAUAGUGCGACACAAUACUCGAUUUAACAACAAAUGUAAACACACACACACAUAUUAGGUGCAAGAAUGACUGUGUGGUUGAGUUUACUUCCCAACCGCAUGGUUCCAUGAUCAGUUCCUCUGCAUGGUACCUUGGGCAAGUGUUUUCUACUAUAGCCCUAAGCCAACCACAGACUUGUGACUGAAUUUGGUAGACGAAAACUGCAGCAUUGUUCAUCAAAAAAUGACCGAAAAUCAUGUUUAUAAAGAACUGUUUGCUUCAUACUCCUCGUGUGCCAAUUCUGCUCAUAAGAAAAAAAAAAAGAAGAAGAAUACAAUGUGGCUGUAGGUCAGAACACCAGGGCAACGCCGAGAUGCAUUGCUAGUAUGUGUGUGUGUGUGUUUGUGUGUGAGCACCUGCAUCGCUAAAAAUAGAAAUCAAAAAUACCUGUGCCACAGAAUAGUCACAAAAUUGAUACAAACAUGAUAGGAAAAAAUUCAA